CUUUGUUUCUUCAAUGUUUUGUUUGUUGCUCUGGUUCUGACAGCAGGAAGAGGAACAGUAGCAGAAACCGACGUAGCAAAGGGAGUAGUUUGCAUCAGCCAUUGCUUUAAAGAUUGCCAUGAAGAUUGUUUAAAAAGGGGGUUUAAGGAGAGUUUCUGUUUGCAAGAAGGAGUUGAUUACUCCUGUUGUUGUAAAUGAUUAAUGUAUGAUAUACCUAUGCUUAUUUCAUAAAACCUUAAUAAAC
RNAcentral lists this small RNA (244 nucleotides) under Vigna angularis var. angularis. Its description in RNAcentral is "Non-protein coding transcript". Lineage: Eukaryota; Viridiplantae; Streptophyta; Magnoliopsida; Fabales; Fabaceae. The record is from RNAcentral.